AUGGGUGCUACUACCACGAACAAGAAGCCGCACGCUGUGUUCGUGCCGUUCCCGGCUCAGGGCCACAUCACGCCGAUGAUGAAGCUGGCAAAGAUCUUUCACUGCAAGGGCUUCCACGUCACCUUCGUCAACACCGAGUAUAACCACCGCCGUCUGGUCCGCUCCCGCGGUCCUCACGCCGUGGCAGGCCUUCCGGACUUCCGCUUCGCCACCAUUCCUGACGGUUUGCCUUUGUUCGAUGCCGACGCCACGCAGGACAUACCAUCCCUCUGCCAUUCCAUCAUGACCACCUGCCUCCUUCCCCAUCUAAGGAACCUACUCCACGACCUCAACAGUGUGGCUGGGGUGCCGCCAGUGAGUUGCGUUGUGUCGGACGAAGUCAUGAGCUUUAGCAUGGAUGCCGCGGUGGAACUCGGCGUGCCAUGUGUGCUGUUCUGGACUGCCAGUGUCUGCGGUUUCAUGGGCUACCGCAACUUCCAGUUCCUCCUAGACGAGGGCCUCACCCCUCUUAAAGAUGAAGAGCAAGUGAAGAACGGGUACUUGGACACGCCGGUGACACGGGCACGCGGGAUGAGCAAGCACAUGCGCCUCCGAGACUUCUCAUCCUUCAUCCGCACGACGGACCCUGGCGACGUGAUGUUCAACUUCCUCAAGCAUGAGGCCGAGCAGUCGGACCGUGCGGCCGCCGUCAUCCUCAACACCAUUGACGAGCUCGAGCAGAAGGCUCUGGACGCCAUGUGUUCCAUCCUCCCUAUACCCGUCUACACCAUCGGCCCGCUUAACGUCCUUACUGAGCAGCUGGUUUCGGAAGGCGAUGUUGGCGGCACGCUCGCCGCCAUACGCCCCAGUCUCUGGAGAGAAGACCGGUCCUGCCUCGAAUGGCUCCAGGGUAGGGAGCCCCGAUCUGUGGUGUAUGUCAACUACGGAAGCAUAACCACCAUGUCCGAGCAGGAGCUGGUGGAGUUUGCGUGGGGGCUUGCCAACUGCGGCUUCGACUUCCUCUGGAUCAUGAGGAACGACCUGGUAAAGGGUGAUGCUGCCAUGCUGCCUUCUGAGUUCCUAGAUGCAACCAAGGGCAGGUGUCUCCUUGCGAGCUGGUGCGAACAGGAGGCGGUGUUACGGCACGAGGCAGUGGGCGCCUUCUUGACGCACUGCGGGUGGAACUCCACGAUGGAGGGCCUUAGUGCCGGGGUGCCAAUGUUGUGCUGGCCCUUCUUCGCCGAGCAGCAAACUAACUCCCGUUACGCGUGUGUGGAGUGGGGCGUUGGGAUGGAAGUUGGCGAUGAUGUGCGCCGGGAGGUGGUUGAGGCAAGGAUACGGGAGGUGAUGGGAGGAGAAGGGGUGGGGAGAGAAAUGAGGCGGAAGGCGGCGGAGUGGAGCGAGAUAGCCGUUCGUGCGACAACACAACCUGGUGGCAGGUCACUGGCCAACCUUGAGAGUAUGUUCAAGGAUGUACUACUCCACUAA
RNAcentral lists this ribosomal RNA (1467 nucleotides) under Triticum aestivum (bread wheat). RNAcentral describes it as "partial small subunit ribosomal RNA". The record is from RNAcentral. Lineage: Eukaryota; Viridiplantae; Streptophyta; Magnoliopsida; Poales; Poaceae.